This 403-nucleotide ribosomal RNA is filed under the name uncultured bacterium. Its description in RNAcentral is "partial 16S ribosomal RNA". It matches the Rfam family "Bacterial small subunit ribosomal RNA", at positions 28 to 526 of the family's 1533-position model. The record is from RNAcentral.
GACGAACGCUGGCGGCGUGCCUAAUACAUGCAAGUCGAACGCAGUGGGGACGGGUGAUUAACCAGUGGGUAACCUCCCAUCAGAGGGGAUAACCCUUGGAAACAGGUGCUAAACCGAUACUGAUGUAUGGACCCGCGGGGCAUUAGCUAGUUGGUGAGGUAACGGCUCACCAAGGCCACGAUGCAUAGCCGACCUGAGAGGGUGAGCGGCCACACGGGGACUGAGACACGGCCCAGACUCCUACGGGAGGCAGCCGGAGGGAAUCUUCGGCAAUGGACGAAAGUCUGACCGAGCAACGCCGCGUGAGUGAAGAAGGUUUUCGGAUCGUAAAACUCUGUUGUUAGAGAAGCGGUAUCUAACCAGAAAGCCACGGCUAACUACGUGCCAGCAGCCGCGGUAAUUC